UACCGCAUACGCCCUACGGGGGAAAGCAGGGGAUCGCAAGACCUUGCACUAUUAGAGCGGCCGAUAUCGGAUUAGCUAGUUGGUGGGGUAACGGCUCACCAAGGCGACGAUCCGUAGCUGGUUUGAGAGGACGACCAGCCACACUGGGACUGAGACACGGCCCAGACUCCUACGGGAGGCAGCAGUGGGGAAUUUUGGACAAUGGGGGAAACCCUGAUCCAGCCAUCCCGCGUGUGCGAUGAAGGCCUUCGGGUUGUAAAGCACUUUUGGCAGGAAAGAAACGUCAUGGGCUAAUACCCCGUGAAACUGACGGUACCUGCAGAAUAAGCACCGGCUAACUACGUGCCAGCAGCCGCGGUAAUACGUAGGGUGCAAGCGUUAAUCGGAAUUACUGGGCGUAAAGCGUGCGCAGGCGGUUCGGAAAGAAAGAUGUGAAAUCCCAGAGCUUAACUUUGGAACUGCAUUUUUAACUACCGAGCUAGAGUGUGUCAGAGGGAGGUGGAAUUCCGCGUGUAGCAGUGAAAUGCGUAGAUAUGCGGAGGAACACCGAUGGCGAAGG
RNAcentral lists this ribosomal RNA (559 nucleotides) under Achromobacter piechaudii. RNAcentral's name for it is "bacterial SSU rRNA". It matches the Rfam family "Bacterial small subunit ribosomal RNA", at positions 167 to 721 of the family's 1533-position model. The record is from RNAcentral. Lineage: Bacteria; Pseudomonadati; Pseudomonadota; Betaproteobacteria; Burkholderiales; Alcaligenaceae.